Molecule: ribosomal RNA, 564 nt
Filed under: Triticum aestivum (bread wheat)
Lineage: Eukaryota; Viridiplantae; Streptophyta; Magnoliopsida; Poales; Poaceae
Description: partial small subunit ribosomal RNA
Source: RNAcentral
AUGCCAAUGGAGAGGUCGGUGUCGCUGGCUGAGAGGAGCACCGCCGCCGCCGCGCCGGCCAACGACCUCCGGUGCCACAGCGCCUCCUACGCCGUCUCCUACGCGCCCACCAAGGUGCAGCGCGACAGGAGCACCACCUCCCUGUCCCGCCCCGUGGCGGCGACCGCCGUGCAGCGGAGCGGCAGCACGAGGACCGUCUCCGGCGCCGGCGCCGGCCCCACCCCGGGGCUGAACCUCCGGUGCUACAGCGCCUCCUACAAGCCUUUCUCCGACGGCACCGCCCAGGCCAAGGGGCCCAACGCCGCCACCACCACCGCAGCCACCUGGUCCUCCGCCGGCCGCCGCUCCCUCAACCUGAGGAGCUACACCCCCUCCUUCUCCGCAUUGGUCGACAACGAGGCCCCGGCCCCGGCCAAGACGGACGAGGCGGAGGCGGAGCUGCAGAGGAAGAAGCGGCUGGUGGCCUACAAGGUGUACGACGUGGAGGGCAAGGUGAAGGGGUCGGUGCGGCGCAGCGUCAAGUGGAUCAAGGUCAAGUGCUCCCGCGCCGUCUACGGCUGGUGA